This 226-nucleotide ribosomal RNA is filed under the name Ixodes scapularis (black-legged tick). RNAcentral's name for it is "eukaryotic small subunit ribosomal RNA". It matches the Rfam family "Eukaryotic small subunit ribosomal RNA", at positions 1229 to 1478 of the family's 1831-position model. Lineage: Eukaryota; Metazoa; Arthropoda; Arachnida; Ixodida; Ixodidae. The record is from RNAcentral.
UUCUGGGAGAAUUUACGAAUUGAGAGCUCUUUCUUUAUUCGGUGGAUGGUGGACCAUGUCCGUUCUUGGUUGGUGCAGCGAUUUGUCUGGUUGAUUUCGAUAACGAACGAGACUCUAGUCUAUUAAAUAGGUGCGUGGUUCUCUGCACCUUGCACCUUUCUCAGAGGGACAAGCGGCUCCUAGCCGCACGAAACAGAGCAAUAACAGUUCGGUGAUGCCCUUAGAU